Molecule: transfer RNA, 72 nt
Filed under: Zingiber officinale
Lineage: Eukaryota; Viridiplantae; Streptophyta; Magnoliopsida; Zingiberales; Zingiberaceae
Rfam family: tRNA
About the family: Transfer RNA (tRNA) molecules are approximately 80 nucleotides in length. Their secondary structure includes four short double-helical elements and three loops (D, anti-codon, and T loops). Further hydrogen bonds mediate the characteristic L-shaped molecular structure. tRNAs have two regions of fundamental functional importance: the anti-codon, which is responsible for specific mRNA codon recognition, and the 3' end, to which the tRNAs corresponding amino acid is attached (by aminoacyl-tRNA synthetases). tRNAs cope with the degeneracy of the genetic code in two manners: having more than one tRNA (with a specific anti-codon) for a particular amino acid; and 'wobble' base-pairing, i.e. permitting non-standard base-pairing at the 3rd anti-codon position.
Source: Rfam by way of RNAcentral
ACGGGGAUAGCUCAGUUGGAGAGUGUCAGACUGAAGAUUUGAAGGUCGCGCGUUCGAUCCUUGUUCAUCGCA